UAUCAAUAAGCGGAGGAAAAGAAACCAACAGGGAUUGCCCUAGUAACGGCGAGUGAAGCGGCAAAAGCUCAAAUUUGAAAUCUGGCAUCUUUGGUGUCCGAAUUGUAAUUUGGAGAGGCAACUUCAGGCAGGACCCAGUCUAUGUUCCUUGGAACAGGACGUCAUAGAGGGUGAGAAUCCCGUUCUUGACUGGCUGUUCCUGCUAGUACGUAGUGCCUUCUACGAGUCGAGUUGUUUGGGAAUGCAGCUCAAAAUGGGUGGUAAAUUUCAUCUAAAGCUAAAUAUUGGCGAGAGACCGAUAGCGCACAAGUAGAGUGAUCGAAAGAUGAAAAGCACUUUGAAAAUAGAGUCAAAAAGUACGUGAAAUUGUUGAAAGGGAAGCGCUUGAGACCAGACUCAGCCUUUGGCAAACAAGUG
This 417-nucleotide ribosomal RNA is filed under the name Tuber indicum. RNAcentral's name for it is "eukaryotic LSU rRNA". It matches the Rfam family "Eukaryotic large subunit ribosomal RNA", at positions 41 to 455 of the family's 3401-position model. The record is from RNAcentral. Lineage: Eukaryota; Fungi; Ascomycota; Pezizomycetes; Pezizales; Tuberaceae.